CUAGGUGGAUUCUGGUUCGGUGGAGUGUGGAGUCAGCCCGUGAAAAAGAUCUCCACCCGCGGGGUAGAAUAGGCCUUUCCUCACGCGCCGUUUCGGCCGGUCAGUACGCUACCCUAGCAGCCAGUCCCCAGUCCCCAAUCGCAUCACGAUCCAUCCUCCCCAAUCCCCUGCUCUCCUCAUCCUCCCACACGCCAUCUCGUCUCCCUCCGCCGCCGCGUUCGCGCUGCCGGCGGGAGCAGCGCCCGUCGCCGCGCGCUAUGCGGUCAGGAGUGGCUGGUGGAGCUCAGCCUGUUCUGCGCGUUCACGCAUCAUCGAGCCAGCCAUCGAAGGGAAGAUUCAGGCCGCCACCAUUGGAGAUACUCGCCCAGGAAGACCCCUUCUCCUCCCGCUCCCAUCAUGCUCCAUCCCCGCCACCAAGCACACACACUGUAUCGACUUUCGGCAAGAGCAUCAUAACCGCCGCGGGGUCGAGCAGCUGCAGCCGGCAGUCAAGGCAGGGGCCUGUAGAUCCGCCGUCGUCCGCGUCUUGCGCGCGCUCCGCCUGCGGUCGGGGUCGAGCAGCUACAGCCAGCGAUCAACGCGGGGCCCUGUAGAUCCGCCGUCGUCUGCAUCUUCCACGCGCUCUACCUGCGGCCGUAGAUCAAUGGGCCAUCAUCUUGCAUCCGUGAGAGCAGAUUGGCUCCUCUCUCAAGCUCUCCAUCGCACCACCAUCUUGACCAGGCAGGAGGACCACGGACAGAGACCUUGCUGCAAACGGUGGUCCAUUAUUUGGGAUUUGGGGCCUCUGAUGUGAGGUGCUUGGACCUGGUUCCGCAGAGAGAACGCCACUGAUUCGUCCAUCCUCACCCCCAGAAGGCAGCCACAGAUCUAGGUUUGGAGUUUCCUCCAACAAAAUCCGGUGCCCCGCUCAAGGCUCAAGGAGGUUGAGGCACCGGCGACGUCCUCAUAGGAGCUGCUCAACUGAGCCUGAACCCAACGAUGGUAUCUAGCGUUUUGCGAAGGAGAAGGAUCAUCUGAACAAUGGAUGUAAUGAAGCUAUCGCUGCUCAAACCAUGGGAAAGGAGAAAAGAGCAACGCCAACAUGCAUGUUUGCCCACACUUGAUUGUACUUGCCUCAAGAGGAUUCUCUUGUUCCAGUCUCAAACAUUGGUGCAAUCUCAAACAUGUAUGCUGUGAAUAAUUUAUCAUGUCUAGGUAUAAUCUCAAACAUUGGUUUAUAAAGGGAUUAAAACCCCAAAUCUAAUAUCAAAUUUUUUGUUAGUUUAUUCCCAGUACCCGUGUUGCAAUGCUCUUUCUUUCCCGCAUAGUUUGUGAUACUUUUUUUUUCUUGCGGAGUGAUGCCUUGAAGCAAGAUGAUAUCUGGUCUACAUCUAUUUUCCAGAUUACUCAAGCUAUUGCUUUUAUCCUCCAACUUGACUUAAAGUUAAUUCAGUUGGAAGAAGAAAAUGGCCAGGGACAAACAGUAUAAAGGUAUAUUUACUUUGCCACUCUUAUCUAUUUUCAGCUACAAUUGUUUUGUUUUCAAAGGGGACAUUUAUGUAGCACUAUUUCAGUUUGAGUAAAUGGCCAGGGAAAAUGACUCUUUGAUCUCCAUAUGGGUAAAAUCAUUCAGCUACGAGUUUGAGUAUGUAGCACUAUUCAAGUUUGAGUAGUUUGGCCAAAUAGAACAGUCAGUUUACGUUGUUGUAACUAUUUCAAUUUGAGUAUGCAAUUUUGCUGAUAGCCAAGCGGACAAGCACCUAACUGUUUCUGGAUGGCCACACCUGAUUGGUUCCUCUCCGUCAGCACCGCCCCUUUUAGAGUUUGUGUUGGGCAACCUUGGACUAAAAAUGGUUUGGUCGGAAUAAGGAAAACUGAGGUAUCUAUUUCUAUUAAACCAUGGAUAAUCUUUUUGUUCAUAGUUUGUCAUAGUGCAAGAAUCUUUUUAGAAUUAUUUUGGUAGUCGAACAUACAUGGAAAAAUACACCAUAUGGAGCGUCAUAUUAUCAAGGUCUGAAUAGUAAAUGUUAUAUGCAUUGUAAAUCAAUACGUGGUAAGGAUUGUUUUAGGUAACGAGGCAUACUCCAUGAUUGUUUGUUGUUGUUACAGCUUGUAAUUAUGCUUCCUGGACUGCUGGGGCAUCCAGCCUGUACCUGCUUUUCGCGUGUGUGUGCUGCUGCAGCUAGUGUUAAGCGAAAUAUUUUCGUAAACAAUUCUGUUCUUGCAGCUUGGUUUUGCAUCACUGAUCCAUGAUAUGAGCAAUUAUGUUCUUAGAGAAAUGAUGGACCUGUGACUAUGUACCGGAUUUUUCACAUUAGAGAGAUAUGUUAAAGGUCCAUUUAAAUUCUCAUGUAGUUUAGUAUGUGUUUGAGGUUUCACUGCUGUCACCUAAUUAUGUGUCUUAGAUCUGCUUCUCUUAGCGCCACACUUCUAUAUUCUUCUUGGUUAGGAAAUAUUUCCAAAUGAUUGUAUUUCCACAAUUUUAUAGUUAUAUAGGGCUUAUUUUUUGUAUGUGUUGUCACAUGCUUAUGUCUCUUCUGGUUUGGAUGGUCAAAAAUGAAUAUGAUGGAUUUACUACUUGAUGUUUGAUUUUAUUGGGACAUGUAAUUUGUUAGCUGGGUUGCGUUUAAUCAACAUUUUUUUGGCUUUAUCCUUACAUUUAUCCUUACAUGGUUACCAAUUUUGUGAUUGCUCAACGUUUAUUUUUAGAUAAUGUUUACUGGUUUCAUGACAUCCCCUCCAGGGAUCAAUCAGAGGGAAAACUUGAAGACGCUUUAGGUUAUAUCGAGGAUGAUUCAUGUUGUCAAGUGUAUGGUGAGAUUGUGAUGAUGAAUUGAUGACUUCAUGUAUUGAUCUGCUCUCAUGUGGUUCAUUCAUGACAUCCAGUUCACAAGCUACAAAUAUAUGGUGACCAUGGCUCUGUGGGGAACCUGAGCAAAUAUUUCUCAGGUUCACACCUCUGUUUCUGUAAUUAGAAACUUCUGUGUUAUUCAUUUGGUGUUGAUGAUUAAGAUUCAUGAGCAAGAACAUAUUCCGUGGAGAUUAUCUUAGUUAGUCCUGAUUACACAUGAGUGUGGAAUUGUGCACUUACAUCAGUUAGGUUCUUUAUCGGAAAAAAACAUCAGUUAGGUUGUUUAGUAAGAAAUGUAGCGAUGCUCUUGCAGCAAAAUACUUAUAUCAGUAAAUGAUUCCUGAAACUUGUUUGAGUCACUGCCACUAUUAAUAAUUUACUGAAACAAUUCAUCCUUGCGUUUUUGGUUCAGAUAGUGCUAGGAAUUAUUUAGCCAGCUCUAGAUUUAGCGUGUUCAAUCGUUCUGAAUUAUUUACUGUCAAGCACAUGGGUUGACAGAAGGUAAAAUGAUUUUGUACAUGAAAAAUAAUUAAAUCCUACUUAUGAAAACGAUGCAUGAAAACAAUACCAGUGGAGGAGAUCCCAGCAGUUGACUUGAAGCAGUGUGGAAGAAGGGCAUGAAGAUCAAGGAAGGGACCUGCUGGAUACAAUCGUGCCAGACCUGGUGUUCAUCAUCGAUGAUAAGUCGCACCAGGUGUUCACCCGGUGCGGAAACUACUUGGUGGCCAUGCAUACUCACAAAGCAAAAUAUUUCCUAUGUGGUUAUGUUAUUUCCCCUUUUGGCUAACGACAACUUUUGUGUUCUUUUAAUUUUGUUUGCUGCUCAACUUGUGCGGGUAAAUUACUGUCAGGUGACCAACCUGGAUGUUAUUAUUCUUAUUUUUAGCAUAUGGUAAAUCUAUUUUCUCUUGCUAUGUGCUAUUGUGGAAUUAUACACGAUAUGCGUGUGUGUGUAGUCACCACUCUUGAGUUAAAUUUUCAGUUCCUUUAUUCAGAACCAUUGCUUCAUGUGGUUUACGAAUUCUUUGAAACAAUGUAACGUGCUUCAUUUUCCUUCUGUAUGCACUUAUUAUCAUUUUCUUGAGCUAUUGGAUGAUUAUUCAUACUAAGUUAUUGUCUCAUCACGACUUAGUUUACAGUUUGAUCUUACUAUAUACUUCUUGCAUUCACUUGCCCUGUAUUUUGUGGGCCACGGCACGCGAGGAGAUUGGUAAGGCGUGAAUGGAGAUACAGGUUCUGGAUUCUUUUACAUAGUGCUAGGAAUUAUUUAGCAGCUCUACAUUUUAGUAUGCUCCUUCAUUCUAAAUUAUCUACUGUCAUGCACAUGUGUUGACAGAAGAAAAACAAAUAAUUUUGUACAGGAACAUAAUACUAACAAUCACAGCUACUCUCAAUUUCACUGCCGAUCUGCUCUUUUAGGUUCUGCCGAAUUGGCUCAAUUCUUCUCCACACGUCGUUGGAAGGCUUCAUUGCGCCUCUCCGAAAGGUUAUCAGCCUAAUGGAGGUUUUUUGAGAUCAAGACUAUCAAGAUCCUGCCCGGUGUCAUGCUGGAAGCUAUGUUGCAGAAGCUGCACCUAUUGGUGGUGCAGCAACCUAUUAGAAUUAGUUUUUUUGUGUGUGCAGUGGCCUCUAAAGAUUGUAUUGCAGCGAUCUUAUUUAGAUGAUACUUUUGCUAUUUUUAGCUUUAUUUCUAUUCGUCUUUGAAAAACUAUAAGAGUGUUAAUAUAUUUCGCUAUUUUCCUAA
Molecule: non-coding RNA, 4574 nt
Organism: Lolium perenne
Lineage: Eukaryota; Viridiplantae; Streptophyta; Magnoliopsida; Poales; Poaceae
Source: RefSeq, a predicted model, not a curated record